Molecule: ribosomal RNA, 557 nt
Filed under: uncultured bacterium
Lineage: Bacteria
Description: bacterial SSU rRNA
Rfam family: Bacterial small subunit ribosomal RNA
Source: RNAcentral
ACGGGUGAGUAACGCGUGGGAAUCUACCCAUCUCUACGGAAUAACGCAUGGAAACGUGUGCUAAUACCGUAUACGUCCUUCGGGAGAAAGAUUUAUCGGAGAUGGAUGAGCCCGCGUUGGAUUAGCUAGUUGGUGGGGUAAAGGCCUACCAAGGCGACGAUCCAUAGUUGGUCUGAGAGGAUGAUCAGCCACACUGGGACUGAGACACGGCCCAGACUCCUACGGGAGGCAGCAGUGGGGAAUAUUGGACAAUGGGCGCAAGCCUGAUCCAGCCAUGCCGCGUGAGUGAUGAAGGCCCUAGGGUUGUAAAGCUCUUUCACCGGUGAAGAUAAUGACGGUAACCGGAGAAGAAGCCCCGGCUAACUUCGUGCCAGCAGCCGCGGUAAUACGAAGGGGGCUAGCGUUGUUCGGAUUUACUGGGCGUAAAGCGCACGUAGGCGGACUAUUAAGUCAGGGGUGAAAUCCCGGGGCUCAACCCCGGAACUGCCGUUGAUACUGGUAGUCUUGAGUUCGAGAGAGGUGAGUGGAAUUCCGAGUGUAGAGGUGAAAUUCGUAGA